AAUAGAUACCCGGGUAGUCCACGCCGUAAACGUUGGAUACUAGGUGUGGCGGUCUUACCAACGACUGCCGUGCCGAAGCUAACGCAUUAAGUAUCCCGCCUGGGGAGUACGGCCGCAAGGCUAAAACUCAAAGGAAUUGACGGGUCCCCGCACAAGCGGCGGAGCAUGCGGCUUAAUUCGAUGCAACCCGAAGAACCUUACCUGGGUUUGACAUCACGGGAAAAGCUGUAGAAAUACAGUGUCCAUUAGGGCCCGUGACAGGUGGUGCAUGGCUGUCGUCAGCUCGUGUCGUGAGAUGUUGGGUUAAGUCCCGCAACGAGCGCAACCCUUGUCCUAUGUUGCCAGCGGUUCGGCCGGGGACUCAUAGGAGACUGCCGGGGAUAACUCGGAGGAAGGUGAGGACGACGUCAAGUCAUCAUGCCCCUUAUAUCCAGGGCUGCACGCAUGCUACAAUGGCCGGUACAACGGGCAGCGAUCCCGCGAGGGUGAGCGAAUCCUAAAAAGCCGGUCCUAGUUCGGAUUGAAGUCUGCAACUCGACUUC
RNAcentral lists this ribosomal RNA (542 nucleotides) under uncultured bacterium. RNAcentral's name for it is "bacterial SSU rRNA". It matches the Rfam family "Bacterial small subunit ribosomal RNA", at positions 777 to 1319 of the family's 1533-position model. The record is from RNAcentral.